This 66-nucleotide transfer RNA is filed under the name Cavia porcellus (domestic guinea pig). It matches the Rfam family "tRNA". From Rfam's summary of the family: Transfer RNA (tRNA) molecules are approximately 80 nucleotides in length. Their secondary structure includes four short double-helical elements and three loops (D, anti-codon, and T loops). Further hydrogen bonds mediate the characteristic L-shaped molecular structure. tRNAs have two regions of fundamental functional importance: the anti-codon, which is responsible for specific mRNA codon recognition, and the 3' end, to which the tRNAs corresponding amino acid is attached (by aminoacyl-tRNA synthetases). tRNAs cope with the degeneracy of the genetic code in two manners: having more than one tRNA (with a specific anti-codon) for a particular amino acid; and 'wobble' base-pairing, i.e. permitting non-standard base-pairing at the 3rd anti-codon position. The record is from Rfam by way of RNAcentral. Lineage: Eukaryota; Metazoa; Chordata; Mammalia; Rodentia; Caviidae.
GGGGGUGUAGCUCAGUGGUAGAGUGCUUGACUUCCAAGUCCCUGAGUUCGAAUCCUAGCACCACAA